This 485-nucleotide ribosomal RNA is filed under the name uncultured bacterium. Its description in RNAcentral is "partial 16S ribosomal RNA". It matches the Rfam family "Bacterial small subunit ribosomal RNA", at positions 27 to 507 of the family's 1533-position model. The record is from RNAcentral.
GAUUGAACGCUGGCGGCAGGCCUAACACAUGCAAGUCGAGCGGAUGAAGGGAGCUUGCUCCUGGAUUCCGCGGCGGACGGGUGAGUAAUGCCUAGGAAUCUGCCUGGUAGUGGGGGAUAACGUCCGGAAACGGGCGCUAAUACCGCAUACGUCCUGAGGGAGAAAGUGGGGGAUCUUCGGACCUCACGCUAUCAGAUGAGCCUAGGUCGGAUUAGCUAGUUGGUGGGGUAAAGGCCUACCAAGGCGACGAUCCGUAACUGGUCUGAGAGGAUGAUCAGUCACACUGGAACUGAGACACGGUCCAGACUCCUACGGGAGGCAGCAGUGGGGAAUAUUGGACAAUGGGCGAAAGCCUGAUCCAGCCAUGCCGCGUGUGUGAAGAAGGUCUUCGGAUUGUAAAGCACUUUAAGUUGGGAGGAAGGGCAGUAAGUUAAUACCUUGCUGUUUUGACGUUACCAACAGAAUAAGCACCGGCUAACUUCGUG